AACGAGCGCUGGCGGCAUGCCUAACACAUGCAAGUCGAACGAGACCUUCGGGUCUAGUGGCGCACGGGUGCGUAACGAGUGGGAACCUGCCUUUAGGUUCGGAAUAACUCAGAGAAAUUUUAGCUAAUACCGGAUAAUGUCUUCGGACCAAAGAUUUAUCGCCUUUAGAUGGGCCCGCGUAAGAUUAGCUAGUUGGUGGGGUAAAGACCUACCAAGGCGACGAUCUUUAGCUGGUCUGAGAGGAUGAUCGGCCACACUGGGACUGAGACACGGCCCAGACUCCUACGGGAGGCAGCAGUGGGGAAUAUUGGACAAUGGGCGAAAGCCUGAUCCAGCAAUGCCGCGUGAGUGAUGAAGGCCUUAGGGUUGUAAAGCUCUUUUACCAGGGAUGAUAAUGACAGUACCUGGAGAAUAAGCUCCGGCUAACUCCGUGCCAGCCGCCGCGGUAA
This 449-nucleotide ribosomal RNA is filed under the name uncultured bacterium. RNAcentral describes it as "partial 16S ribosomal RNA". It matches the Rfam family "Bacterial small subunit ribosomal RNA", at positions 29 to 523 of the family's 1533-position model. The record is from RNAcentral.